Molecule: ribosomal RNA, 301 nt
Filed under: uncultured bacterium
Lineage: Bacteria
Description: partial 16S ribosomal RNA
Rfam family: Bacterial small subunit ribosomal RNA
Source: RNAcentral
CAGUAGCCGCGGUAAUACGUAGGUGGCAAGCGUUGUCUGGAAUUAUUGGGCGUAAAGGGCUCGCAGGCGGUUUCUUAAGUCUGAUGUGAAAGCCCCCGGCUCAACCGGGGAGGGUCAUUGGAAACUGGGAAACUUGAGUGCAGAAGAGGAGAGUGGAAUUCCACGUGUAGCGGUGAAAUGCGUAGAGAUGUGGAGGAACACCAGUGGCGGAGGCGACUCUCUGGUCUGUAACUGACGCUGAGGAGCGAAAGCGUGGGGAGCGAACAGGAUUAGAUACCCCCGUAGUCCCUGUCUCUUAUAC